This is a non-coding RNA of Pan troglodytes (chimpanzee), 147 nucleotides long. It matches the Rfam family "Metazoan signal recognition particle RNA". From Rfam's summary of the family: The signal recognition particle (SRP) is a universally conserved ribonucleoprotein. It is involved in the co-translational targeting of proteins to membranes. The eukaryotic SRP consists of a 300-nucleotide 7S RNA and six proteins: SRPs 72, 68, 54, 19, 14, and 9. The record is from Rfam. Lineage: Eukaryota; Metazoa; Chordata; Mammalia; Primates; Hominidae.
GCCAGGCAUGGUGGCAUGUGCCUGUAGUCCCAGCUACAGGGAGGCUGAGGUGGGAGGAUUGUUUGACCCCAGGAGUUCGAGGCUGCAGUGAGCUGUGUUUGUGUCGCUGCACUCCAGCCUGGGGGACAAAGCAAAACUUCGUCUCUU